RNAcentral lists this long non-coding RNA (319 nucleotides) under Heterocephalus glaber (naked mole-rat). RNAcentral's name for it is "lncRNA (ENSHGLG00000047257.1)". The record is from RNAcentral. Lineage: Eukaryota; Metazoa; Chordata; Mammalia; Rodentia; Bathyergidae.
CUGAUGCUGGGCAGGGCAGGAAACCACAGCUCUCGGAGAGUCAUGUGAUAACAAGUCUCUUCUUUGAUCUCUUGAGAAGAAAGCCUAGACCACACUACAAGAAAUCCCACUGAGUUGUUGGUUGGGGAAACAUCAAAUGCACACCUACAGAAAAGCCUGGACUCAAUCACUUCCACCACAACCUCUGGCCUUCCGGGAGGUGAAGGUGGCGAUGCGGCCAAAGACUGACCUAGUGGAAGAAAAUGCAUAAUUUGUAAAUUAAAGAUUUUGAAGAAUGAAGACUGGCUUAUGGAAAAAGCAUAGAAAGAUUAUAACUCUG